Molecule: long non-coding RNA, 2574 nt
Organism: Equus caballus (horse)
Lineage: Eukaryota; Metazoa; Chordata; Mammalia; Perissodactyla; Equidae
Source: Ensembl
UGCUGCCAAAUUUCAUCCUGCCUGCAUAAACUUUCCCCUGCUAAUUUGAAGUUUAGCCUUUCUGUCUUGCGAUUCUCCCACCAAAAGACAAGCCUUCUGUGCAAAGCUAUCCCAGUUUUCCUGUCUUAGGAGGAGGAUGGUUGGUGACAGCAGGAUAGGAAACCACUAAUCUUAUCUACAGAGGCCUGCUUCUAUUUUCCUGGCUUGCUAUAUCUGUUUUUGCAAGCUCAGAAGGCACUUUUCCUCCCACUAUUUAAGGUGGUUCCCGAAAUUCCACUAAUUCAUUCAGCUAUUUAUUCAUUUCAUGAAUCUUUGAGCUCCAAUAAUAUGUCAGGCAAUAUCCCCCCAAAUCCUCCUGCCACUUCCCCCCAACUACCACACACACACACCCCUUUGACUCACCUCAGGUAAAGCAGAUAGGAGGCUGGAGGAAUACAUGCACUGUGCUGGGGUCUGCCACAUUACCACAGCCACCAGACCACAGGACAGAUCUCCACAACUUAAGAUGGUAGAACGGGGAUGUGGGUGUUGACUUCAGCCUUGAGAAAUUCGGGGUUGAAUCCCCUGAAAGAGUUCUUCAGGAAACCAAAGUGAUUUUACCAGAAUUCUUUACCUUCUGGACCCUGAAGGUGAUUAGGCAGUUGAGUAGGCUUGUCAAAAGAAAUAAAAGUUAUUAAGCAUAGCGAUGGGUUGGAGUUCCAGCUAAGAUUUAGGCAACAUGGCUUUAUGGUUAACGAGAUGGUUCUGGGAAUGGAUGACAAUUGCAGUUCAGCUCUAUCCUAUAAAAUCAGUUUUGUAAUCAAUAUUAGGAGAAUAUUAUCUGUGUCCUCCAUUAGCCCAAGCAGUGUGGUAUGUGGCCAUAACAGUAUCGGUUCUGUUUCUUCUCCCCUUUAAAUCAUACCUAAAUAUUUUCCUUGGGGUUCUAUCUUAGGCUAGUGGAUUUGCAAAAAAGUUUCUCUUUUCUUAGUGUACCAGUAUUAUGUUUUUUCCUCUUCUAUUAGAUCUUUUUCUUUUGAACAAUAACUAGCCCUUUAUUUCCGUAUUCUUGGAAGGAGUCCAUUAUAUUAUGCACCAAAUCUCACUGAUACCUGUGAGAUCAUACAUACCUCAGAAUAUUAAAAUAUUAGAUUGCCUUUUUAUUGCCUUUAAUUAUGACUACUCCUUGGGUUGUUAUAUAGCAGGAGUAGCAAACACCUGGUAAGCAACUCUAAUCUCUCCUCCCUGCACAAGGAAGGCAUUGCUAAUCAGACACAGCCCUCUGAACGUGGCGUCGGAAUAUUUCUCAACACAAGUUCAGGAAGCCUCUAUCAAGAUGAAGUGUAUUUGCUAUUCUUCGUAUAUUAAGCUAUGAAUCCUGUUCUUAGGGGUUAAUAUCAAGAAAAUUACUUUGGAGAUAGGUUUGAGCUAGUUUUUAAUUUAGAAGGGAUGAAAAGAAAGAAAGAGAAGAGCAAAUAGAGCAUUACUCAUAUAAAGCAAUGUUUUUCCGAGGAGAAUGCUUAUCGGAUUUAAUUUCCAUUCCGGCAGAUGGAUUCUAACGUUUAAACAGAAUCUCUUGGGUUUGAAGAGACCUCUUGUGGGUCAUUUAGCUUAUAUCUCAGUACUACCACAAGAUAGAUCUCAUUAUUUUCCUUAAAUCCUGUCUUAAAAAUAAAUGGGUGCCUAAUGAGUCUUUAAAUAGUGAUUUUACUACCUCCUCUGGAUGCAUGUGCCAUAACUUCUGUAUUCUAAUAGCUUCAUUGCUUCCGUAUUUUAAUAGCUACCAAUUAUUCUCUAAUAUUUAUCUAAAAUUUCCCUGUAGCAUCACAAGUCCAUUGCUGCAUCCUCUAUACUCACGCUGCCUUUAAGAUUUUAAAUGAAUCUAGCAGGCAGUCACAACCAGCAGCCAUUGAAUAAAAAACAUGAGCUAUGGAUGUUAUGCAUGAACUGGUCACCAUAACCCCUUUGGACUUAACAGUUGUUCCUGAACAGUUCCCAUUUUGAGCCCCAUCUCCCCUAACUCCAAAAGCUUGGAAGAUGAUUGGCAACCAUGCAUCUGGCCCUUUGGACUUAAUAUUGCUAUUUUGGGUCUUGGCUUUUCUCACUUGUUUGCUCCUCCAUUUCUCCAUUUGUUUGCUUCAACCAGGAACCCCUCCAGUGCUUCUCCCUAUUAUUCAACCCUGACACUCGCCUAGGGGUAAUUCAGACAAAUUCUUCUAGGCUCUAUUUAGAAUGUUGACAUUAGAGCAUGAUUAUGUCUAGACUGUGCAUGCCUGUCUAUUAAUUAGAGUCCUUAUCACCCAUAGAUGGAGUGGGAAGUUAUCUUCAUGGUAUGAUUUGAGUGGGUAGCCUCCAUAAUCAAAAAUUUCUUCCCUACUCAGGAGAAGUGCUGGAAAUUCAAUCACUAGAGAGCUUUUCUCUUGAUUAAUCAUAAGGCAAUCCAAGAUUCUCUUUUAAAAUGCUGAUGACCUAGAAGGGUUAACCCAUCAGGUCAAAAACUCUUUAGUAUGAAUUAGAUAUUUUUUAGCCCACUUUCUUCCGAAAUAGGUGAUAGUUGAGCAUAAGUAGUAUAAUAGAGUCCUUGGAAGACGCGGUCCU